RNAcentral lists this ribosomal RNA (292 nucleotides) under uncultured bacterium. Its description in RNAcentral is "partial 16S ribosomal RNA". It matches the Rfam family "Bacterial small subunit ribosomal RNA", at positions 505 to 796 of the family's 1533-position model. The record is from RNAcentral.
GUGUCAGCAGCCGCGGUAAUACGAGAGGCCCAAACGUUAUUCGGAUUUACUGGGCUUAAAGAGUUCGUAGGCGGUCUAGCAAGUGAGGUGUGAAAUCCCUUGGCUCAACCAAGGAAUUGCGCUUCAAACUGCUAGGCUCGAGGGAGAUAGAGGUGAGCAGAACUGAUGGUGGAGCGGUGAAAUGCGUUGAUAUCAUCAGGAAUACCAGAGGCGAAGGCGGCUCACUGGGUCUCUUCUGACGCUGAGGAACGAAAGCUAGGGGAGCAAACGGGAUUAGAAACCCGCGUAGUCC